Molecule: unclassified non-coding RNA, 377 nt
Filed under: plant metagenome
Description: partial contains 5.8S ribosomal RNA, internal transcribed spacer 2, and large subunit ribosomal RNA
Rfam family: 5.8S ribosomal RNA (bases 1-105)
Source: RNAcentral
GAAAUGCGAUAAGUAAUGUGAAUUGCAGAAUUCAGUGAAUCAUCGAAUCUUUGAACGCACCUUGCGCUCCUUGGUAUUCCUUGGAGCAUGCCUGUUUGAGUAUCAUGAAAUCUUCAAAGUAAAUCUUUUGUUAACUCAAUUGGUUUCUACUUUGGUAUUGGAGGUCUUUGCAGCUUCACACCUGCUCCUCUUUGUUCAUUAGCUGGAUCUCAGUGUUAUGCUUGGUUCCACUCGGCGUGAUAAGUUAUCUAUCGCUGAGGACACUGUAAAAGGUGGCCAAGGUAAAUGCAGAUGAACCGCUUCUAAUAGUCCAUUGACUUGGACAAUACUUUUAUGAUCUGAUCUCAAAUCAGGUAGGACUACCCACUGAACUUAAG